UGUUUUGUUUUGUUUUGCAUUGUUUUGUUUUGUGUUUGUUUGUUUUGUUUUAAGAAACUAUUCUGCAGUAUUUUUGCCAGGUUUUGUCACAGUCCAUGUCAGUGCAUUAACUAUACUUCUUAAUGUCACUGCAAAGAAAAACCUUAUUCUAUGAUCAUGUCUGUCUUCUGUGAGUGCAGCUAGGAUUAUUCUAGACUGUGUGCAAGUGACUGUCCAUCUUUAGAUUCCAGUGGCCAUGCAGAGCCCUUUUGCUCUUUAUCUACAAGGACAGGGCUAUUGAAGACAUCAUCAGUCUUUAAGAAAAACAAGAAUGUCCCCAAAGUUUGUAUACUCCCUAUAAUAAUGCCCUAUGGCUUACAGCCAGUGCCAAAGGUAUGCUUUAUCAAUAGAGGUGAUUCCAUUCAUCAACAAUAGUGUUUUUAUUCUCCAUCUUAAAUUUGACAGAGGGGUAGCCAUACCACAUUCUUUAGAUUUGAAAUCAUCAACUCCAAGAAUCUAAAAAUAUAGUAACAAUAAAAAGUUAAUAGUGGUCCUGGCUUGGUGGCACACACCUUUAAUCCCAGUACUUGAGAGGCAGAGCCAAGUGGAUCUCUGUGAGUUCAAGGCCAGCCUGGUCUACAUAGCAAGAGAGCCUCUGUUUCAUAAACCAAAACCUGAACCAAAAUCAGUCGUCGAAAAACUGCCAACAAUCCCCACACACACACACACUGCCAAAGGCGGACAUGAAAAAGAUACAAGAUGAUCAAAGAGAGGUACUAGUCAGUGGAGUGCUAGGUUCUGCCAGCUCAGCAUCCAUUCUGUCCCUCGUGUGUAUGGCCACCUGACUGGGUCCUGAGCAGUCAAUUAUUUCCAUCAAUUAAAUGGUUUUUAAGAUAGUAGCAAAGUGACAGAAAUGUUUUUUGCCUCUUGGAAUUUAAAUACCUCUUUCUGGUCAGGUGUGCAUGGAUUUGUUUUCAACAAGAAGUGGCCCAUGCCAGGAAAUGGAGAGGCUCUGCAGAGCUGAGCGUUGUUCCUGGUGGUGACAGAUUUACCUUUCCAUGGGAGGGGACAGGCCAGGUACACUUUCAUAAGCAAGAAGUGUCCUAUUUUAAAUAAAAAAGAAACAGUGUUUCCCUAGAUCGAUAUGUGCCUCUACUUAGUUUUUACUUCUUUGGAAAUAAACUUCCAAUUUGACCCAUUUCCAGCCAGUACCAGUAAAUUGGGAUGACUUCUUCAAAAAGGGAAACCAUUCCUUCCUGCAUUUCUCUUUCUUCUCCCUGGCUCCCUGGACCUUCUGGUGGGUCAUUCAGUUCUUGGGCCACCGGAAGGGUACUCUCCCCACUCCUGGGGGCUGUAAUGGGACUAGAGGCAGAUGGAGCAGCCUUACUUUAUGUGACUGGCCUUACAGCAGGAAAAGGUGGUAGAUGCUGAAUGUGUAUGCCAAAAACAAAGGUGUGUGUGGUGGUGGUGGUGGGGUGUUCUUUAUGCAAAACAAACCCUUGGGAAUCUUUCAAGAAGUCACAUACCUUGUAAAGGGAGGAUGGUCACUCACCAAGUGAUAGGUUUUAGCUUGAAACUUCUUUUUGCCAUAAGUUUGGGGUUAUGUUACAAUAGUUGUGUUUAAAACACUACCCCCUUUAAAUUUUUUCCAAGGAUUUAGUAAGUGUAGUAUUUCUGAAUGUGCCUUUGUCAGUCCAGAGACCAACUGUGGUCUGUCAGAGUCUCCUGGCAGCCCCCAGACAGCUGUUGGAUUUUCAUGAGCGCCCAUUUUGCAUAGUGUGGUUGUGCUGAAGCGAUUCUGGGUCUCAGGCCCAGAGGUUAUGAGCAAAGCCCAGGCUAGUCCAGUGCAGGUCAGCUGUGUACUUCUGCAUUCUCUAGUUGCAUGUGUGAGUGAGUGUGUGUGUGUUUCUGUAAGCACUGGAGCAAUUGGGAUGCAGUGAUUUUGGUGAUCUGUUCAUGCAUGUAGAGAAGGCCUUUCUGGCUUUACGCUGCAGAAGGUGGAUUUUUCACCCUCUCUGCCUUAGGAGGCCCUGGUUUUCCCAAAUGCAAGUCACAGCAAUGUUGCUAUUUAUGUGAACAGGGUAUUUAUUGCACACAAAGAAAAAGGUUUUGAAAGAAUCAAGACCAGUGUUUAAAAAAGAAAACAAACUCUGAAAUCAUAUUGUAAUUAUUGAGAACUGUUGUAGUUAAACCAAGAAAUCUGUAGUCUCUUGUGUUUUUCAAUGACCCCACCUCUCCCACUCCCUAUCUUCUAAAGAAGGACCCUGCUCCACCAUCCUCAGAGCUCCCCCACAGAAGAAAGCAGUCUCCUAGGUUCCCUUAGCUUCAUUCAGGAAGACAAAGGGAGGCUUUACUCACUCCUGGUUGCCUUGGGAUGUAUUCUUAUGCAAAUGUGAAUUUAACAAGAGGUUGUUGGGUUUGUUUUUGUGGGGAUUUUUGUUUUUUCAACCACAAAAAAAGGUCCUUAUGUGGUCAUCCUUUCAUCCUUGCUCCAUUUUGUAACAUGAAUUUGUAACUAUGCAUUUUCUGAAAAGGGGAAAGAGGGGGAAAGAAGUCAAUUUGCAUCUUUAUAUUUUCCAGUUUCUGUGUCCAUGGUCCACGUCUGAGAAAGGAAGAGGAGGGGAAGCUCAACAGGUCAGCAUAGUGAGGGCAAAAGGGACCUCCCAGAUCCCGCCCUCUGGCAGGUCUAAUUUCGAAGCAAAUUGGGGGGGGGGGGAGUCUGCCAUGCCUGUCCAUCAUUAUGGUGCAGGAUUCUUGAUACUGGCCAUGCAGUGUUAACCCAGGGCAGCCAUGGAAGCUCACAGGCUCAAGUAUUCUCUGAACUCAGAACCCUUUCAAGCUCAGGAAACCAUGCCGCACUCUGCUGACCUGAGAGUUCAUCUUUACAUCAUUUUGAAAACUCCUCUUUUGCAUUUCUUUGUUGUCAAUCAUUGCGAAGGGAACCAUUCCUAGUUCUGAGCUGAGAAAGAGGGCUGUUGCCUGCUGUUGAUUGACAAAAGCAAAAAAAAAAAAAAAAAAAAAAAAAAAAAAAAGGCUUCCCUUCCCUGUCUUUUAUCGCUGAUCUCUGCUUCCCUCACCUGUACUGAGCUGGUGGUGCAGUGAGUUGUGGAGCACUGGAAGGCCUUUGUACUUCCUCUUCUUUGUUCUGACAAUUCCUUUGUGGAGUGGGACUAUGCAUUACCCUGGUCUAGGCAUUAUUACAACACAUAGUAGCAGAAGUGAGAGACGUUCAGCCUGUAUCCAGUGUUUCCCACACAGCAAUCUCUGUUAUGUUCACAGUACUGUAAUGAGUGACAGACUUGAUCACAGUCUUUUUGUGUCUGUGCGAGGUUACACAGGCAUGAUCUUAUCAGGGUUCCAAAUCUGCUCAAUUGCCUUUAAACAAAGCAAAACAACAAGAAAAUCCUGAUGUUUCAAGUGUCUGACGCAAAAUGAUACCUCAAGGUACAUUUGCCCUGCAAUGUAAACCCUUCGCUCCUCUCCUUUCUUGACAUCAGUGAGCUAUUCUUUAUAAAAUAAGCAUGUUUAAAUAACCGGAUAAGUCUUUGAAACAUUUUCUUUGCUGUGAAAAUAACCUUAAAAUAUGAUACUUGCAUUUUAAGCCAUCAGAAGUUUCAGAUCUGAAUUCUUUUCAUGUUGAAGAAGAAAAGCAAAGCAGGUCAGUGGGGUAGAGCUUUGGGUUUGUGGUAUGGCUGUUUUCUCCCAGUGUUUGUCCUCCCCACAGCACAGGACAGCAGACCACUCGCUGUGCAUGCCCUACCUAGGUGCCAUCUAUUCUAGCACCAAGGUCCCAGGAUGGAGAGUGUCUGAAUUUCUCUCUUCCAUAUAUGCUCCAUCCCCUCCAGGGACUUGAAAAGGUUUUGCACCCAGGGACCUUGAGUUCUCUGCCCUUUUUUGUUCACAUGCACACACUUCUUUCCCUUUAGUGUGGUUCUUAAGUUCCCCAGUGGAGUUCAGUCCCUGGUAUUGCAGUCUGUCCUGUGGCUUUUUCCUGCAAUGCUCUGGAAAUAUAUUUCUUACUUAGAAGGAAACUCAUCUGAGGAGACAUGCAAACAACCCUGAAAACCCUGUGUAUCCUCAGAGCUUCCAUGUUGCUUAAAGCUGACAUUCUUAGAAGAAACACAAUGCUGCUUGUGAGGGCAUUGACAGCUGCUGCCCUCCUAGACUUGGGCUCCCAUGAGACAAGAUUAGAGGACUCCUCUCUUAUCCCACUUUAACUCAAACCCUAUCUGCCAAGCUCUUUAAGUGCUCUCCCUGGUCUUGUUCAAUGACGACUUCCUUUGAGGGAAGAAUCUUGAUAAAAGUGCAUGGGCGUCUCCUGCCCAUCUUCUGACUGGCACUGUUCACUUGGAUUUUACUUCUGUAGUUUGUCUGGAGACCCUUGCCUAUCAAUGUGCUUCCUCUCAUCGCUAGGGUUCUGCCUGCCCUUGUUUUCCUCUCUGAUGUUCCCAAAGGGCUUCGCUGAUGUCUGCGCCUCUUUCCUGGGAUGUCCCCUUACUCCACCCUUUGUACACACCAGUGACCAAAGUGUAUGCAGUGGUUUCAACACAAGACAUCAAAAUGGUGCAGGCACCUCUAGUGUGCUCACAGACAUGUGCACAAGAUUCUGCACCCUUGGCCUUAAUUUCAGCACGACUUAAGGUGCAGGAACAUUUUUAACAGGUUUAAAAAAAAAUCUCUUCUGGGAGGGAAAAUAAACCAGACCCAACCACUCAACUAUCCCCACUCCCCAACUCCCCACAAUCUGCUUACAACUUCUCAUUCUGCAUCCACCCCAGCCCUGCUCUGCGCAACCAAAAUCAACAACAAAAGCAACCUGAGGUGAGGUUUCUGGACUGUUUUAUCUUUCUCCCUUUAGAUGGAGAUACAAAUGCUGCUUUGGGUUCUGUAAUCCUAGGGGGCUAUGUUUACAUAGUGAAAUUCAUUCUACCAAAUCAGGAAACAGUGAGUGGGAGACCCUUCAGCAAGAGGUCACUGAGGCUGAACCAGAGGUGAGAGGACCUGGGGAUGUGGCAGAGGAGGAGAGAGAUGUUAUUUAACUCAUUGUGACACCCUGUUCACUCCUUCCUCUCUGCUCUCAGUGUCCCUUUUUGCCCCUUUAAUCAAAAAGGUUUAGAGAAAGGCACCAGAAGGAGGCUGAAGUUUUAAGAGGCAGCUUUCCAACCUUGCACACAAACAGAAGGUACCGCAAAAAUCCUCUCAUCUGAAACACUCAGCAGAAACAACCUAUCAAAAGGACUAAAUCGCUGCACACGUUGAUGCUCUCUGCAAGUUACCUAUAAGUGUUUUGUUUUCUUAUACUUGAAAUUGCUUUUAUAUUAUUUUGGUGACUUUCUUUUCUUUUUACAGAUGGGCAAUAGAAACUGCAGGUGAUAAGUUUUACAGAUGUUUGAGGGGAGAAAAGGAUGUGGCAUUGUCUUUUUUAACCUAGAGGUUCAGUCAGACUCCCAUAUGGCAAAGUUGCUCAUCUUACUGGUUUAACAUGGACACAGAAACUAGGCACUUUGGUGGUUCACUUGCACGGCAGGCCGGCCCCCUUUCUAUAUUUUAUUUUACUUUUUUAGUAUAGUGGUACUUAAAAUCACUGGUUCACUUAAAAGAAAUGUUAAACUCUACUAAUGUACAAAUAAGCUGAAAAGUUGCAUUUUAUGUGUAUUUUUUGCCAUAGCAGGUACUGUAUUUCUCAUGCUGGAUUUCAAAGUGUGUAUAUAUAUAUAUAUACAUAUACAUAUAUAUAUGUACAUAUAUAUGUAUAUAUAUAUAUGUAUAUCAAAAACAAACAAACUGAAGGGUGGUGUUUUACCGGGUUGUGGCAGGGUGAGUGAUAAGGAAUGAAGUCGUAGUCAUUUCAUUAAAACUGAGAGGUGAUGUAAUGCAUAUAGAAACGUUUUCUGAAAGGUUUUUUUUUUUUUGGAGGGGGGCUUUUAAACAGCUUAUUUUUUGUUUAGUUUUUAUUUUAUUUUGGAAAGAUAUGAUUGUAUUAUGUGCAACUCAGUUGCUUACAUUAUAACUACAAAUAUUUUUGAGUUCCUGGAAAAAGAAAAAAAAAAGAAAAAAGACUAAUAAAUGUGUUUGGCUGCUAAGCAUUUAC
Molecule: non-coding RNA, 6070 nt
Organism: Cricetulus griseus (Chinese hamster)
Lineage: Eukaryota; Metazoa; Chordata; Mammalia; Rodentia; Cricetidae
Source: RefSeq, a predicted model, not a curated record